GACGAACGCUGGCGGCGUGCUUAACACAUGCAAGUCGAACGGAAAGGCCCUGCUUUUGUGGGGUGCUCGAGUGGCGAACGGGUGAGUAACACGUGAGUAACCUGCCCUUGACUUUGUGAUAACUUCAGGAAACUGGUGCUAAUACCGGAUAGGAGCUCCUGCUGCAUGGUGGGGGUUGGAAAGUUUCGGCGGUUGGGGAUGGACUCGCGGCUUAUCAGCUUGUUGGUGGGGUAGUGGCUUACCCAGGCUUUGACGGGUAGCCGGCCUGAGAGGUGGACCGGCCACAUUGGGACUGAGAUACGGCCCAGACUCCUACGGGAGGCAGCAGUGGGGAAUAUUGCACAAUGGGCGGAAGCCUGAUGCAGCAACGCCGCGUGCGGGAUGACGGCCUUCGGGUUGUAAACCGCUUUCGCCUGUGACGAAGCGUGAGUGACGGUAAUGGGUAAAGAAGCACCGGCUAACUACGUG
Molecule: ribosomal RNA, 468 nt
Filed under: uncultured bacterium
Lineage: Bacteria
Description: partial 16S ribosomal RNA
Rfam family: Bacterial small subunit ribosomal RNA
Source: RNAcentral